Molecule: ribosomal RNA, 330 nt
Filed under: uncultured bacterium
Lineage: Bacteria
Description: bacterial SSU rRNA
Rfam family: Bacterial small subunit ribosomal RNA
Source: RNAcentral
CGCGUAGGUGGUAGUGAAAGUCUAUGGUGGAAUCUUAGGGCUUAACCCUAAAACUGCCUUGGAAACUUCAUUACUUGAGUCAGUGAGGGGAGGGUAGAAUUCCUGGUGUAGCGGUGAAAUGCGUAGAUAUCAGGAGGAAGGCCGGUGGCGAAGGCGGCCCUCUGGCGCUGAACCGACGCUGAGGCGCGAAAGCGUGGGUAGCAAACAGGAUUAGAUACCCUGGUAGUCCACGCCCUAAACGGUGGAUACUAGGUGUAGGGCUCGUAAGGGUUCUGUGCCGAAGGGAAACCAUUAAGUACCCCGCCUGGGGAGUACGGCCGCAAGGUUGAA